RNAcentral lists this unclassified non-coding RNA (539 nucleotides) under Hevea brasiliensis (rubber tree). Lineage: Eukaryota; Viridiplantae; Streptophyta; Magnoliopsida; Malpighiales; Euphorbiaceae. The record is from RNAcentral.
AAAAAGGGUUCAUGCUUCUCCUUUGAGCCCAAGUUCAUUAUUAAGGAUGUACAGAGUUGCACCUCAUUCACCAUACGAUCCUUUGCAUCUCGUCCCAAAAAUGUUAAAUGAUCCCUCACCGGCAGCAUUAGAUUCUAGAGGUGCAUUUAUUAUACACAUACCUUCAUCGGUAUAUGUAUGGAUUGGUAAGAAAUGUGAAGCAAUCAUGGAAAGAGAUGCCAGUGGGGCUGUUUGCCAGAUUGUUCGUUAUGAGAAAGUGCAGGGCCCUAUCAUAACAGUCCUUGAAGGUGAGGAACCUCUGUACUUCUGGGAUGCUUUCUCCAAUUUCCUGCCAUUGAUGGACAAAUUAAAGAAUGGACGGGAUGUUGUUGAGUCAUCAAGUAAGAUUUGUCCAGGGGAAAGAAAGGUGGAUAAUUAUGAUGUUGACUUUGAGAUUUUCCAAAAAGCUACUUCAGGUGGCUUUGUUCCUCCUUUUGCGUCGUGUGAGACUGAACAUGAAACCCACCUUCCAGUUAGAGAAAGUUCUUGGAGCAUGCUAA